GACAUCUAUUAAAAAGUCAUGCUUGAAUAUCUCCUUUUGUUUAUUCAGUCUUUUCAUUAUACAUGAUUUACCUCCCUUAUUGCAGAGUUGCCUACAUGUACAUGUAAUUAUUAAAUUCAGUAAUAAGAAGGUGUAUGGUGAAGUGCAACAAACAUACAUCAUGUACAUUACAUCAACCAACAAAGUAGCAAAAAUCAGUCGGGGGUCACAUCAGGUACAUUUUCUGUAAAUGGGAAAAU
This 239-nucleotide long non-coding RNA is filed under the name Mytilus galloprovincialis (Mediterranean mussel). The record is from RNAcentral. Lineage: Eukaryota; Metazoa; Mollusca; Bivalvia; Mytilida; Mytilidae.